This 293-nucleotide ribosomal RNA is filed under the name uncultured bacterium. RNAcentral describes it as "partial 16S ribosomal RNA". It matches the Rfam family "Archaeal small subunit ribosomal RNA", at positions 455 to 747 of the family's 1478-position model. The record is from RNAcentral.
GUGCCAGCCGCCGCGGUAAUACCGGCAGCCCAAGUGAUGGCCGCUGUUAUUGGGCCUAAAGCGUCCGUAGCUGGCCGACCAAGUCUCCCGGGAAAUCCACCCGCCCAACGGGUGGGCGUCCGGUAGAAACUGGCCGGCUUGGAACCGGAAGGCUCAGAGAGUACGUCCGGGGUAGGAGUGAAAUCCCGUAAUCCUGGACGGACCGCCGAUGGCGAAAGCACGUCGCGAGAACGGAUCCGACAGUGAGGGACGAAAGCCAGGGUCGCGAACCGGAUUAGAAACCCGAGUAGUCC